GCCAGGCCGCGCUCCCCCCUUACCUGGUAGGAGCAGUUUUCCUGGUGGACCAUCUCCGUGCAUCAUCCGCCGCGCCGCCCCGCGGGGUCUCCGGCCCCGGCGGGGAAAGAGGAGGAGGAGGACGGGAAGAAGGAGGAGGAUGGGCAGGAGGAGGAGGAUGGGCAGGAGGAGCUGGGAGCCCGGCCAGCCGGUCCUUCUCUAAUCAAAUUUCUCCAAAGAAAAGGCCCAUGAAGCUCAAGCAAGCAUCCAGCUUUGGCUCGCAAUUUCAAGAGUCCCCAUUCCUCGCUUAGUCAACAAGAGCUUUAUUCUGCUCCCAGUCGCAGCCAGCUGUGGCUGCGCUCAGAAACCCACAUGCCGCUGAAACCCAGAAGCACUUGCUCACAGGCCAUCUCGGAUUUCAUUCCCCGCACCAGCUGUGCCUCUAGGAAAAAAGGCCAUUGUAGGAGCAUUGCUCCCCCAACUUUCCCAGCUUCUCACCCGCACAAACCAGCCGGAGCAGCCGUGGGCGGAUGGAAAGUCCCUCAAGUUCCCGUGCAGCUGGGAUGGAGAGAAACCCCCAGACCUGCCUCGGCUCCAACCCUCCUCCCCGACACCCUCUCCCCUACAGGAGUGGUGGUUUAAAAAGAUCUAGGUAUCAUUCAAAAAGAACAAAAAAACAUUCUUCACAAGUUUUUAAGAGAGCCUGGUUUUUACUGGGUCUGCAGAGAAUCCCAUUCAGCCAGGCAGGUAUUUCCAAACAUCAAAAUGAACCAAGACACUUUUCAACAUCCUGCAUAAAUCUUGGCCUUGCUUCGGAGAAGUAUCUGUGGCAAGCUGAAAGCAGCUCCGCGCAUUAUGGAACCUCUAACGCCAUUUAUUAUGUGCAUCGCAAGGAAAACUCCUGAAUUUAUCCCCCACUUUCCACAUGCGGGUCUAUCUAUAAAUCUAUAACGAUGGUGACUCAGUCGCUCCGCAUGCAGCAGAUCCCCAAUGGGGACUGCACCCAGGUCUGCUGCAGCAAGGGGUGAACCCCACUUCGUCUAUUUAACACCCUAUUCCUUUUGCAAAAUGACCCAGGAGAGAGCUACGUUGGGCUUAGCAUGUCUGCUGCAGAAAAGCCACCCGUUUGCAGCAAAGCUCUUCCCUCUGGGGCUGGGAGCCCCACACGAGCCUGCGAUGCAGCUGGGAAGGGCCAGGCAUCGCCUUCAACAUCUGGGUUUGCUCCUCUGUUCUGUGUCCGUUCGCGAUUCCCCGUUCAGAAAUGAGGCAGGCAGGCAGGCAAUAAUUAAAGAGAUGAGUGAUUAAAUGGAGUGAAAGGCUCCUGGCAGCCCUCCAGGUGGGUCAGUGGGAAAGGAUGCUCCGGGAUGGAGGCAGCGAACCAGCGCUGCCGCUCUCCACAAAGACACAACCCAGGAAAAUCCCCAGGGACCCCCAACAGCCCCUCUCAGCUGGGGAGAGAAACCCAGGGGGUCACCUGCAUUGCCUUCUGCCUUUUUUAUUGAGGCACCUCUAACCUAGGGUAUGUUACGCCACUUAGGCGUAUCUAGCCAAGUUUUCCUGAAGCUCUUCCCCAAAACCAGCUCCAAACUGACAAUGUAUAAGUUCACAAAGCCCUGGAGAACAUCUCCAGGGGGUCUGACACCAAGCUGGGGACGCCAGCAUGAAACAUUUCCCUUCUCAGCAGGUUUGGGGAGAUGCUCUGGUCAAUCCUGGCCGUGCUGGGUUAAGCUGGGCCACCAGGAACGGGCCAGGUUCAAUGUCCUGGAUGCUUGCAGGGCUACGGGGGUGAGGACACAAGAAAUUCAACCCCAUGCACAGAAAGAUGCAGCUUUACCAGACAUGCUCAAAUUCUUGUAGUGAAACAACAGGAUUUCGUUCAUUAUCCUUCUACACACACACAUCCUGCUGUGUGCCUGGACCCAGCUGCAAGGACUCAGCCCUUCAGCCCAAAAACCAUGUGAGGAGGGAAAUAAAAGGGUCGGAGCAGCAUUUGUUCCUUCAACAAGGCAAGCGAUGGGUUUCCUUAACUCUAAAAAAAACAAUCAAAAAACCCAAACUAGAAACUUCUUUCUUCUCACAGUCAUUCCUUGAGGGGCUUUAUCAGGUCAAAUUAUUUUUCAGGUUGGCAUUGGCCAACCCGUCUGGUUGAUUAAAAAAGCAUAUUAAUUUAGACUAGCUUUUUCUCUUCAGAUCUCAAAAUAAACGUAUAGCUGGGUCAUAUUGCAGGUAGAAAUGAGGCAGGAGCUGAUCCCCACACCCGCAGGGGAGGUGCAGGGAGCCAGCCCGGGAUGCUCCUGCUGACCCCGAGCCCAGCGAGCUUGCAGGGAACUGGGAAUUAUUUACAGCAUGACGGGAUUGCAGCUUUCUUUGCUGAUGAUUUACUAGCAGUGAUGGAUUUAGCCCCUCUUUAAGCCAAGCUAAAGCUUUUCCAGGGUUUAAAUCUAGCAAGAAAAAGAAGAAAAAAGAUUAUUUUUUAAUCAGUUAAUACUAGACAUCUGUUUGGAAAGGGGAGUAUUUGGAUCACCUACAUACAUAAUGCUUUAGACUAUUACUUUUUUAUUUAAGGAGGACGAUGCUGAGGUGUUUCCCAUCAUUUUGGAUGCGUGACUCUUCUCUACGAGGGGAUAAACCUCUGAUUUAAGAAUCCAAAGAGCACCCUUCCCUCCUCCAAGUCCCUUUUACUUUCACAGUGGUUUCUUGAGCCCUUUACAAGCAGCAGCUUUACAAUUCCCCCUUAGCACUGGGUUACCAACCCAUCCAUUUUUAGGAUUAAAAAUCUGCAUGCUGAAAUGUUCGAAUAAAACUCUUCUUGGUCCUCUGAGAAAACAAAUGCAGGGAAAAACCCACUCUGGAGUGAAUGUCUAUUAUUUUGUAACUCUUACAUGACCGAGGAAUUAAGGAGCACUGGGAAGAGUACUUGUUGCAUUUUUAUUUGGAUGCAGAAGCGCACAUCUUGCACUUUUAACAGCCUAAUGCUCCGUUUUUAGUGGUAAGCAACUCAUCCAGAAAUGUCAGUUUUCUCCGCAUCCCACAGCCGGCAUCCUUGCCAUUACACAAUCAAACCACAAUUGUCUCCUCCCUCAAAACACGGAACAGAAGGUUACAGCAAUUUCACAUUCUGAUACCUCCGAUGCACAGGAUAUCAAACGCCUUACAGGGAAUCAGAGUGAAGAAUUCAAGUCACUCGAGUAUUUAUAACUUUCUGGUGAUAUAAAAGCGAGAAAACAUACGGUAAACCAGACUUCUCCAUGAAACCCAUCUAGAAAGACCCACUGAUACAGCUGCACAGGCUUAAUUUGUAAUUGUUCAAUUUAUAAGCUGGAUCAUGCGUGCUUAAUAGGGAAUUUACAGGCGGUCUGAUGAUGAGCAGGUAUGAUAGCCCACCAGGUAAUUACUGCUAAUGAAUGGAGGACGAUUCCAACUACCAGCCCCUAAUGAGCACGGGGAGAUGGCAACGGAACAGCUACAGCUGCCUCCUUGCAGUUUUAUUUAUAUUCUUAUAAGCUGUUCUUCGGAAACACGAUAUUCACGGUAUGCAAAACGCUACGGAGAACAUGAGCUUUUCAGCAGGACGAGGCAAAUCUAGAUGUUUUUGUAUUAGCACCAAUAAACUAAAACGUUACAAUCCA
Molecule: long non-coding RNA, 3608 nt
Organism: Columba livia (rock pigeon)
Lineage: Eukaryota; Metazoa; Chordata; Aves; Columbiformes; Columbidae
Exons: 2
Source: RefSeq, a predicted model, not a curated record